AUAUCAAUAAGCGGAGGAAAAGAAACCAACAGGGAUUGCCCUAGUAACGGCGAGUGAAGCGGCAACAGCUCAAAUUUGAAAUCUGGCCCUAGGCCCGAGUUGUAAUUUGCAGAGGAUGCUUUUGGCAAAGCGCUUACCGAGUCCCCUGGAACGGGGCGCCACAGAGGGUGAGAGCCCCGUAUGGUAUGACGCCGAGCCUCUGUAAAGCUCCUUCGACGAGUCGAGUAGUUUGGGAAUGCUGCUCUAAAUGGGAGGUAAAUUUCUUCUAAAGCUAAAUACCGGCCAGAGACCGAUAGCGCACAAGUAGAGUGAUCGAAAGAUGAAAAGCACUUUGAAAAGAGGGUUAAAUAGCACGUGAAAUUGUUGAAAGGGAAGCGCUCGUGACCAGACUUGCGCCGGGCGGAUCAUCCAGCGUUCUCGCUGGUGCACUCCGCCCGGCUCAGGCCAGCAUCGGUUUUCGCCGGGGGACAAAAGCUUCGGGAACGUGGCUCCCUUCGGGGAGUGUUAUAGCCCGUUGCUUAAUACCCCGGCGGGGACCGAGGACCGCGCUUCGGCAAGGAUGCUGGCGUAAUGGUCAUCAGCGACCCGUCUUGAAACACGGACCGAGGAGUCAAGCAUUAGUGCGAGUGUUUGGGUGUAAAACCCGCACGCGUAAUGAAAGUGAACGUAGGUGAGAGCUUCGGCGCAUCAUCGACCGAUCCUGAUGUUUUCGGAUGGAUUUGAGUAGGAGCAUUAACGCUUGGACCCGAAAGAUGGUGAACUAUACUUGAAUAGGGUGAAGCCAGAGGAAACUCUGGUGGAGGCUCGCAGCGGUUCUGACGUGCAAAUCGAUCGUCAAAUUGAGUAUAGGGCGAAAGACUAAUCGAC
This 867-nucleotide ribosomal RNA is filed under the name Gaeumannomyces tritici. RNAcentral's name for it is "eukaryotic LSU rRNA". It matches the Rfam family "Eukaryotic large subunit ribosomal RNA", at positions 40 to 940 of the family's 3401-position model. The record is from RNAcentral. Lineage: Eukaryota; Fungi; Ascomycota; Sordariomycetes; Magnaporthales; Magnaporthaceae.